Molecule: ribosomal RNA, 304 nt
Filed under: uncultured bacterium
Lineage: Bacteria
Description: bacterial SSU rRNA
Rfam family: Bacterial small subunit ribosomal RNA
Source: RNAcentral
GACGAACGCUGGCGGCGUGCCUAACACAUGCAAGUCGAACGGGGUAAUUUCUUCGGAGAUUACUUAGUGGCGAACGGGUGAGUAACGCGUGAGAAACCUGCCUUUCAGUGGGGGACAACAGUUGGAAACGACUGCUAAUACCGCAUAAUGUUAUUUGGGGGCAUCCCCGAAUACCAAAGCUUUANGUGCUGAAAGAUGGUCUCGCGUCUGAUUAGCUAGAUGGCGGGUAACGCCUACCAAGGCGACGAUCAGUAGCCGACCUGAGAGGGUGACCGGCCACAUUGGGACUGAGACACGGCCCAAA